Molecule: transfer RNA, 87 nt
Filed under: bacterium
Lineage: Bacteria
Description: tRNA-Leu
Rfam family: tRNA
About the family: Transfer RNA (tRNA) molecules are approximately 80 nucleotides in length. Their secondary structure includes four short double-helical elements and three loops (D, anti-codon, and T loops).
Source: RNAcentral
GCUCGGGUGGCGGAACUGGUAUACGCACAGCACUUAAAAUGCUGCGCUCGUAAGGGCAUGCGGGUUCGACUCCCGCCCCGAGCACCA